Molecule: ribosomal RNA, 465 nt
Filed under: Vreelandella stevensii
Lineage: Bacteria; Pseudomonadati; Pseudomonadota; Gammaproteobacteria; Oceanospirillales; Halomonadaceae
Description: partial 16S ribosomal RNA
Rfam family: Bacterial small subunit ribosomal RNA
Source: RNAcentral
CCUACGGGAGGCUGCAGUGGGGAAUAUUGGACAAUGGGGGGAACCCUGAUCCAGCCAUGCCGCGUGUGUGAAGAAGGCCCUCGGGUUGUAAAGCACUUUCAGUGAGGAAGAACGCCUGGUGGUUAAUACCCAUCAGGAAAGACAUCACUCACAGAAGAAGCACCGGCUAACUCCGUGCCAGCAGCCGCGGUAAUACGGAGGGUGCGAGCGUUAAUCGGAAUUACUGGGCGUAAAGCGCGCGUAGGUGGCUUGAUAAGCCGGUUGUGAAAGCCCCGGGCUCAACCUGGGAACGGCAUCCGGAACUGUCAAGCUAGAGUGCAGGAGAGGAAGGUAGAAUUCCCGGUGUAGCGGUGAAAUGCGUAGAGAUCGGGAGGAAUACCAGUGGCGAAGGCGGCCUUCUGGACUGACACUGACACUGAGGUGCGAAAGCGUGGGUAGCAAACAGGAUUAGAUACUCCAGUAGUC